Molecule: long non-coding RNA, 1448 nt
Organism: Pecten maximus
Lineage: Eukaryota; Metazoa; Mollusca; Bivalvia; Pectinida; Pectinidae
Exons: 2
Source: RefSeq, a predicted model, not a curated record
GUCAACAAAAAUAACAGCUACAAAUGCCUUUAUUCUAAAACAACAGAGUAUACUACUGAGGCCAUAAUUCUGAAUAACCACAAAAUACAAAGUACACCUCCUUUGUUAUGAAGUCACAAACAUGUAACCCUAUCAAGUGUUGACAAUAGCAUGUGGGUUACAAUUUGAUUAUAUCCUUUUAAAAGAAACCAUGGAAAAGUCACAUAAGCUGCACAUAACAAGUUUAUCCAAAUGUGAAGCAUCCUAUGUCACAGGGAUAGGCCUUUGUAAUAAAGAUAUGUACAAAACUCCAAGACAGAAUGAAUAAAAACACAUCCCACUCACAAAUGUAUAUGACAAAAGUCACACAAAAUAAACAACGAUUUAUAAUUUGCUUGAAUCCAUAUUAUCCAAGUAAAUUUCCUAUAUAUCCAAUCCUGUCUACUAAAUGUGUUAACUGUUUCACUGUACCCGACAAACCACCCCCGUCUGGAGUUAUAGCGAGCUCUGGUCAUAACAUCGUGCAACACGCAAUCAUACUAACAACAGUUACUGCACACACUGCAGCGCAGACAGUCUGCAUAAUACGCCACAGCAUUAAACAAUCCCCUUUGACCUUUGACCUAAUUCUUUACGAAGCUAAAUCCCACCUCUCGGUCUGGACAGGCCUCCCAGCUGUGUAGCGGAACCGGUCUGUUUAAGGAUAUUCGAAUGUUUUACAAGAGUGAUGACUUCGUAUCAAUAUAGACCUUUCAGGCGAUAGGAGGAGCUUAUGAACAAUUUACAUAGAAAGGUGGGAGAACCACGAAGUACAAACUCAAUAGACAUCGUCACGUAUCAAUGAUGACAUAUUAACAACACAAUUUAGGAUUUCAAUAUUACAAGGUGUAAUCAAUGUGUCAUUAAAACAAAAGCCCAUUCAAAGUGAUAUAGCAAUGUGUCGCGAGCAUAUAUACACGGAACUGUUUUCGUAAAAGUUCCCGGAUGUUUAAUUUCAAUGAUCGACAUGGCGUUGUUAAUCUCAGACAUGUCGAUUUCAGCAGACACACAGAUGAUUCUUCACAGCUUGGAUUAUGUUGAUAAAAUGAUCACAUGACAGAUUCUAUGGGAUUAUGGUAAUACUUCCUAGAUAUAUUCCCAAAGAUGACACUAUGUUGUUCAUUCCGAGUUGGAAAGUAUACAUCUAUCCGGAUAUUUAUGAACAGACUGACACAACAAAUGGACAAUUUGGCGAAGAGUUACCCGGAUGUCAGCUAUGUGGCGGUUCAUUGUAUGAUUUGUCAAAACUUUGUAAGUUUGAUUGCAAAUGGAUUUUUACUGAGGUAAUUAUUUAGCAAUAACAUUGUUUAUUGUUCUUAUUGUGUGAACAUGAGAUUGUGGUAUGUAGAUAUGUAAGUUUGAUCGCAUAAGAUAUAAUCAUUUUCAAAACAACAAAUCCAAAAUAUCUUUAAAUAAAGAGAUUGACUGUU